GCUGAAGGCAGAGAGGGAGACCUUGACAAGCAUCCAGGGGAGGGGCGUGCUCAACUCACAUGGACCGAGGAGAUAUUGCUGGAGAGGGGUGAGCUGCCCGAGAGGCAAUUCAGUCCGGUCUGCGUGGUUGGGAACCACUCGGCUGUGGAAGAAAGGAUGAAGUGAAGGAUGAUGAAGGAAGUGGAGCUCAGAGAGGCCAAGCAAGUCACCCAUGCUCACACAGUUGAAAAGCACCAGAGUUUCUAUCCAGAGGGCCAGCGAAUCCUUUGCUGUACCAAAGCCAAGGAAAUAAAUAAGCUCUUUCUCCCUUCUCCUGCUUAAGAACAGCAAAGAAUACAGAGACCCCUGCAGCCUGGGGCACUGCUGAUGGAUUUGACCACAAUCAUUGGCUCAACGGCACUUCAAAAUCCAUUUUCUGCCUGUCUCUCGUCUGUCUCUCACUGUCUGCCUCUUUAUCUGGCUUCCAAAUGAACUCUGAUAGUUUCCUCCCAGGAGAAGAUUUGCUUGGGCUUCCUGGAAAACGGAGAAAACCUUAGGAAAGAGGGAAGUGAGGAGGGGUUUGGCAGUGACAAGUGAGCAGGGCAGGGCAGG
Long non-coding RNA from Onychomys torridus (southern grasshopper mouse), 591 nucleotides. RefSeq lists it as uncharacterized. The transcript has 4 exons. Lineage: Eukaryota; Metazoa; Chordata; Mammalia; Rodentia; Cricetidae. The record is from RefSeq and is a predicted model, not a curated record.